RNAcentral lists this transfer RNA (76 nucleotides) under Oscillospiraceae bacterium. RNAcentral describes it as "tRNA-Thr". It matches the Rfam family "tRNA". Rfam says of the family: Transfer RNA (tRNA) molecules are approximately 80 nucleotides in length. Their secondary structure includes four short double-helical elements and three loops (D, anti-codon, and T loops). The record is from RNAcentral. Lineage: Bacteria; Bacillati; Bacillota; Clostridia; Eubacteriales; Oscillospiraceae.
GCUGGUGUGGCUCAGUCGGCAGAGCAGCUGAUUCGUAAUCAGCAGGUCGCCGGUUCAAGUCCGGCCACCAGCUCCA